GCAGUCGACGACCCUUCGGGGUUAGUGGCGCACGGGUGCGUAACGCGCGGUAAUCUGCCCUUGGCUUCGGAAUAACAGGUUAGAAAUGACUGCUAAUACCGGAUGAUGUCUUCGGACCACAGAUUUAUCGGCCAGGGAUGAGCCCGCGUAUGAUUAGGUAGUUGGUGGGAUAAAGGACUACCAAGCCGACGAUCCUUAGCUGGUCUGAGAGGAUGAUCUGCCACUCUGGUACUGAGACACGGCCCACACUCGCUACGGGAGGCAGCAGUGGGAGAAUAUUGGACAAUGGGCGCAAGCCUGAUCCAGCAAUGCCGCGUGAGUGAUGAAGGCCUUAGGGUCGUAAAGCUCUUUUACCCGGGAUGAUAAUGACGGUACCGGGAGAAUAAGCUCCGGCUAACUCCGUGCCAGCAGCCGCGGUAAUACGGAGGGAGCUAGCGUUGUUCGGAAUUACUGGGCGUAAAGCGCGCGUACGCAGUUAUUCAAGUCAGAGGUGAAAGCCCGGGGCUCAACCCCGGAACUGCCUUUGAAACUAGAUGACUAGAAUCUUGGAGAGGUCAGUGGAAUUCCGAGUGUAGAGGUGAAAUUCGUAGAUAUUCGGAAGAACACCAGUGGCGAAGGCGACUGACUGGACAAGUAUUGA
This 640-nucleotide ribosomal RNA is filed under the name uncultured bacterium. RNAcentral describes it as "bacterial SSU rRNA". It matches the Rfam family "Bacterial small subunit ribosomal RNA", at positions 57 to 743 of the family's 1533-position model. The record is from RNAcentral.